AGGGGUUUGAUCAUGGCUCAGAACGAACGCUGGCGGCAGGCCUAACACAUGCAAGUCGAGCGCACUUAUGACCUUCGGGUUAUAGGCGAGCGGCGGACGGGUUAGUAACGCGUGGGAACGUACCCUUUACUACGNAAUAGCCUUUGGAAACGAAGAGUAAUACCGUAUACGCCCUUUGGGGGAAAGAUUUAUCGGUAAAGGAUCGGCCCGCGUAAGAUUAGAUAGUUGGUGGGGUAAUGGCCUACCAAGUCUACGAUCUUUAGCUGNUUUGAGAGGAUGAUCAGCAACACUGGGACUGAGACACGGCCCAAACUCCUACGGGAGGCAGCAGUGGGGAAUCUUAGACAAUGGGCGCAAGCCUGAUCUAGCCAUGCCGCGUGAGUGAAGAAGGCCUUAGGGUCGUAAAACUCUUUCGCCAGAGAUGAUAAUGACAGUAUCUGGUAAAGAAACCCCGGCUAACUCCGUGCCAGCAGCCGCGGUAAUACGGAGGGGGUUAGCGUUGUUCGGAAUUUACUGGGCGUAAAGCGCCACGUAGGCGGACUGAUCAGUUAGAGGUGAAAUCCCAGGGCUCAACCCUGGAACUGCCUUUAAUACUGUCAGUCUAGAGAUCGAGAGAGGUGAGUGGAAUUUCCUAGUGUAGAGGUGAAAUUCGUAGAUAUUAGGAGGAACACCAGUGG
This 677-nucleotide ribosomal RNA is filed under the name uncultured bacterium. RNAcentral describes it as "bacterial SSU rRNA". It matches the Rfam family "Bacterial small subunit ribosomal RNA", at positions 1 to 715 of the family's 1533-position model. The record is from RNAcentral.